This 87-nucleotide ribosomal RNA is filed under the name Aspergillus niger. Lineage: Eukaryota; Fungi; Ascomycota; Eurotiomycetes; Eurotiales; Aspergillaceae. The record is from RNAcentral.
ACAUACGACCAUAGGGUGUGGAGAACAGGGCUUCCCGUCCGCUCAGCCGUACUUAAGCCACACGCCGGGAGGUUAGUAGUUGGGUGG